RNAcentral lists this long non-coding RNA (279 nucleotides) under Rattus norvegicus (Norway rat). RNAcentral's name for it is "long non-coding RNA NONRATT011614". Lineage: Eukaryota; Metazoa; Chordata; Mammalia; Rodentia; Muridae. The record is from RNAcentral.
UGGGAUCAUAAAGAGAAACGAAAGGAAAAUUGUGCCCCAGAAAGAACAAGAAAGAUGAGGGAGCACAUCUGAACACCUCGUGUAGCAAACGACAGUGGACUGUAAGAUCCCCACACUUGUGAAAACGUCUCAAUGGGAGCAACUCACUGCCCCGUAAAUCUGCUGAAGAGGUUAGCAGUGGAUGGACCAAAGGAGGAAGUGCGUGCUCUAAUCUCUCUGUUACCCUGGAAACGCUUUAGGUCUCAGACUUUUGGAAAAUAAAACUGACAAACGCACGAG